Molecule: ribosomal RNA, 253 nt
Filed under: uncultured bacterium
Lineage: Bacteria
Description: partial 16S ribosomal RNA
Rfam family: Bacterial small subunit ribosomal RNA
Source: RNAcentral
UACAGAGGGUGCGAGCGUUGUUCGGAAUUAUUGGGCGUAAAGCGCAUGUAGGCGGCCUCUUAAGUCGCUUGUGAAAGCUCCAGGCUCAACCUGGAAAGUGCGGGCGAGACUGGGAGGCUUGAGUGCCGGAGAGGGUGGCGGAAUUCCCGGUGUAGAGGUGAAAUUCGUAGAUAUCGGGAGGAACACCAGAGGCGAAGGCGGCCACCUGGAAGGACACUGACGCUGAGACGCGAGAGCGUGGGGAGCAAACAGG